CUGGUUUACAGAGGCUGUUUUUGCUGACAGCUGCUCUGCUGCAAAAGCCUGCUGUCCUUACUAAAAAAUGACCAGUGCUAGCCUAAACCUAGGGAAAAACUUUCUGUGUUUUUAAGCCUGGGUUGUUUCUGCGGACUUGCAUGUUAUUGAAACACCUAUGCCUGAGGGGCUAAAUGAAGGUUAUGGGUCUUCAGGAUUGGUUCAGGAAAAUGAAUUCUAUGACGCUGCUGUAAAACCACCUCUGAUUGGGCCGAUCCAAAGGAAUUGAUAACAAGUGUGAGAGGGUCUGAACCAGAAAAGUUGCCUCAUUCUACAGAAAGACUUCAAAGGGUUAAACCAGAAAAGCUGCCUCAUUUACAAAAAGACUGCAAAGGCACACUUUUCCAACAGGCCUUCUCUCCCAGAAACACAGAGCAGCUGCAGGUCUAGCAAACCCAGCCAAAGCCUACCAGAACUAAUGCUCCACUGCACACAGACCUCUCCCCAAGGCAAGAGGAGGAGAUGGAAAACAAACCACGUGGGACAGAUGGCAUCUGUCUCUGGGGAAGGUAGUUCAUGACCUCUCAUAGAACAGAAUAGAGAACACAGAGCUCAUCCUGGGAAGCAGGGGGGUUGUGCUGGGAAGCAGAGGACUGUGCUGGGAUGCAGAGGGUUGUGCUGGGAUACAGGCAGCUGGGCUGGGAAGGAGGCCGCUGGGCUGGGAUACAGAUAACUGUGCUGGGAUGAAGGCGGCUGUGCUGGGAUGCCCUGCUACACAGUCCAGCAAUGAGGAUCCUGUGUGAUCUAGGGGAGGGAAAAUAUCUGUGUGCUGGAGAGCUGACUGCAAUGAUGGCACAGAUGUGGGGUCUCAGGGAGGGCGCCAUCGCGGUGUGCUGGAGCUGUCUAGGAGUUGGCCACUGAUCCCGGAACUGGAGUGCCCGGUCAUUGCUUCCUUGGGUGAACUGUUUUACAGGUGGUUUUAUGGGUGGUUUGGCUUUUCAGAAGAGUGAAUGGGGAGGAUUUUGCUGAGUUGGGAACAAGAGGGCAAUUGUAAUGUCUUUAUAGGCUUCUCAGCAGAGAGAAACAUGGUCUCGCGGGGAAAACAGCAGGGAAAACAAAGGGAAACGAGCAGCAAAUUGCUGGGGCGGAACCGGCUGUUGAUCAGAGAGGCAAGUGGUAAUCAACACGCCGGAUUUUCUGCUGGGCCUCUGCAGAAAUGACAAGAAAAUUCACCAUUGUAGGAACUGGACAAGAAACUCCUCCUGCUGCCAUCCUCAGAGCUGGCAGGAGCACAGACAGGUUAUUUUCCAUCUUCCCUGCCCCCACCACAGGAGCUGGACUCUGCUUCGCAGUAAGUCACACUCUCUUCUGCACUGUUAUUGGCUUGGACACAUUCCACUGGCUAAUGACACUCUCUUUACUCGCCUGCACGCUCCAUUUUCAGCUGGAUACAAUCUCACCCCCGAACAUGUGUUAUAGUUGCUGUCCACCCCAGAAGUGGCUGCAUUUCAGUGCAGGGUGCUUGUGCCAGGAACAUGGUGAACUGCUUUUAUCAUGCGCUUUGAGCAUCUCAUCUGCACUCUGACUGGAAAUCCUGUAUAAGAGCUUGAUAUUGUUACUGGUUUAUCUAGCACAAGCCAGACAUGGAGGCACCUCACGUACUAAUGAGACAGAUGGGGACCUUCCCAAAUUGCCUCCAAGCUGAGGUCUGCUCUACACUCUGUUUUUGUCCUGACUUGUGAUUUCCUCCUGAAAUAGUUAAAUCAGCACCACUCCUAAAGUACCACAGUUAUGUUGGUAGAAAGGUGACUCGUAUAGGUACAGCUUAGUCCCCUUCCCUUAUGCAGUGGUCCCCAAACGUUUUCUGUCACGCCCCCCCCCACCCGGAAUGGAAUCUGUCUGCGCGUUGCCCCCGGGAGCCACAGUUGGAAGCCGGGCUGGGAGCAGAGCCACAGCCAGGGUGAGGAGCUGAGGCUGCAGGCUGCAGUCGGCAGUGGGGUUGGGACUGGAGCCAAUGCCAGGGCUGUGGCUAGAGUUGCGGCUGGGGCCGGGACCAAGAGCGGGGCUGCAGCCAGGGCCUGAGGCCGGGAGCCAGGGGCCUAGGUCGCAGCUAGAGCUGCAGCCGAAAGCGGAGCUGCGGCUGGAGCUGGGGGCCAAGGCAAGGGCCACCACUGCAGCUGGGAGCAAGGCCAGAGCCUGGGGCCGGGAGGUGUGGCCAGGGCAGGGAGUGGGGCAGGAGCAGA
Gopherus evgoodei (Goodes thornscrub tortoise) is the source of this 2222-nucleotide long non-coding RNA. RefSeq lists it as uncharacterized. The record is from RefSeq and is a predicted model, not a curated record. The transcript has 4 exons. Lineage: Eukaryota; Metazoa; Chordata; Testudines; Testudinidae.